AUUUGACGCGGUGCCUACGUAGCGCUUUCUCGUCUAUCUUCAUCUCUUUUUUUCGUGUUCUGAAUGCGGGUGGUUACUUCGUUACUUAUGCGCUCUGGUAGAUUUCUGUUGCAAAAAUCCACACGCAUUGAAAAUCGCCUCCUCGAAUGUCUUCAUAACUCGGAGAUUACGCCUCCUAAUCCAUGCACUCGUCGAGAUUUGCGAUCCACCCCCGGCGAUCUCUUGGAAUUCUCGCGACUACACACUAUGCACCGCCCACGCCAGGCUUUUCUGCCUCGCAAUUCAUCGCUUCGGCUUCGCACGCGGAAAGACUCGUUACUUUCGAAAGCCUCGCUCCUGCGCUGUAUGCAGCAGGUCUUGUGCAAAUAUUUUGACAAGCAAGAUGUACACGUUUCAAGUGUAUAGGUGGUCGGCGAUGUAAGCGUGUUAUUAAUUGUGCUCGAGUGUAGAUGUUGAAACAUUUUCGCAAGAUGUAAUUCAUUUCCAAGCAUCAUUAUUGACAAGAAAAAUUGGUCGGGAAUUUACAUUCAAUAAUCAUAAAUUGUUUUCAAUAAUUAUAUUAUAAAAAGUUAAUUUAAGAUUCUCUGC
Phymastichus coffea is the source of this 588-nucleotide long non-coding RNA. RefSeq lists it as uncharacterized. The transcript has 3 exons. The record is from RefSeq and is a predicted model, not a curated record. NCBI's taxonomy places the organism in Eukaryota, Metazoa, Arthropoda, Insecta, Hymenoptera, Eulophidae.